ACGGGUGAGGAAUACAUCGGAAUUUGCCCAUGUCGUGGGGGAUAACGUAGGGAAACUUACGCUAAUACCGCAUACGACCUAACGGUGAAAGCGGGGGAUCGCAAGACCUCGCGCGAUUGGAUGAGCCGAUGUCGGAUUAGCUAGUUGGUGGGGUAAAGGCCUACCAAGGCGACGAUCCGUAGCUGGUCUGAGAGGAUGAUCAGCCACACUGGGACUGAGACACGGCCCAGACUCCUACGGGAGGCAGCAGUGGGGAAUAUUGGACAAUGGGGGCAACCCUGAUCCAGCAAUGCCGCGUGUGUGAAGAAGGCCUUCGGGUUGUAAAGCACUUUUAUCCGGAACGAAACGCGCAGGGUGAAUAUCCUUGCGAACUGACGGUACCGGAGGAAUAAGCACCGGCUAACUUCGUGCCAGCAGCCGCGGUAAUACGAAGGGUGCAAGCGUUACUCGGAAUUACUGGGCGUAAAGGGUGCGUAGGUGGUUCUUUAAGUCUGCUGUGAAAGCCCCGGGCUCAACCUGGGAAUGGCAGUGGAUACUGGAGAGCUAGAGUGCGGUAGAGGGUAGUGGAAUUCCCGGUGUAGCAG
RNAcentral lists this ribosomal RNA (584 nucleotides) under uncultured bacterium. Its description in RNAcentral is "bacterial SSU rRNA". It matches the Rfam family "Bacterial small subunit ribosomal RNA", at positions 102 to 681 of the family's 1533-position model. The record is from RNAcentral.